UAUAGAGGGUGCGAGCGUUAAUCGGAAUUACUGGGCGUAAAGCGCGCGUAGGCGGCUUUGCAAGUCGGGUGUGAAAUCCCCAGGCUCAACCUGGGAACUGCAUUCGAGACUGCAUUGCUAGAGUAUGGGAGAGGGAAGUGGAAUUUCCGGUGUAGCGGUGAAAUGCGUAGAUAUCGGAAGGAACAUCAGUGGCGAAAGCGACUUCCUGGACCAAUACUGACGCUCAUGUGCGAAAGCGUGGGGAGCAAACAGG
This 253-nucleotide ribosomal RNA is filed under the name uncultured bacterium. RNAcentral describes it as "partial 16S ribosomal RNA". It matches the Rfam family "Bacterial small subunit ribosomal RNA", at positions 524 to 776 of the family's 1533-position model. The record is from RNAcentral.